CCCCUACGGGAGGCAGCAGUGGGGAAUCUUGCACAAUGGGCGAAAGCCUGAUGCAGCGACGCCGCGUGCGGGAUGAAGGCCUUCGGGUUGUAAACCGCUUUCAGCAGGGACGAGGCGAAAGUGACGGUACCUGCAGAAGAAGCCCCGGCUAACUACGUGCCAGCAGCCGCGGUAAUGGGG
This 180-nucleotide ribosomal RNA is filed under the name uncultured bacterium. RNAcentral describes it as "partial 16S ribosomal RNA". It matches the Rfam family "Bacterial small subunit ribosomal RNA", at positions 336 to 529 of the family's 1533-position model. The record is from RNAcentral.